This 478-nucleotide ribosomal RNA is filed under the name uncultured bacterium. Its description in RNAcentral is "partial 16S ribosomal RNA". It matches the Rfam family "Bacterial small subunit ribosomal RNA", at positions 28 to 507 of the family's 1533-position model. The record is from RNAcentral.
GAUUAACGCUGGCGGCGUGCAUAACACAUGCCAGUCGAACGAUGAAACUCAUUAGAUUUCUUCGGAAUGAAAAUGAAUGGAUUAGUGGCGAACGGGUGAGUAACGCGUGAGUAACCUGCCUUACACAAGGGGAUAGCCUCUGGAAACGGAGAAUAAUACCCUAUGAAACCAGACAAUCGCAUGAUAAUCUGGUCAAAAUGUUUAGUGGUGUAAGAUGGACUUGCGUCUGAUUAGCUAGUUGGUGAGAUAAAAGCUCACCAAGGCAACGAUCAGUAGCCGGCUUGAGAGAGUGUACGGCCACAUUGGGACUGAGACACGGCCCAGACUCCUACGGGAGGCAGCAGUGGGGAAUUUUGCACAAUGGGGGAAACCCUGAUGCAGCGACGCCGCGUGAUUUAGAAGGCCUUCGGGUUGUAAAAAUCUUUUGUAUAGGAAGAAAAUGACAGUACUAUACGAAUAAGGGCCGGCUAAUUACGUG